RNAcentral lists this ribosomal RNA (2223 nucleotides) under Triticum aestivum (bread wheat). Its description in RNAcentral is "partial small subunit ribosomal RNA". Lineage: Eukaryota; Viridiplantae; Streptophyta; Magnoliopsida; Poales; Poaceae. The record is from RNAcentral.
AUGUCCUUCGAUUUUGACGAUGAAGACCAGAACGUCCCUUAUGCAUAUUAUACACCAGGUGAUUUUAUUCCAUUAAGUUUUUUUAUUGGAAGCAUACAUAAAAGCAUCAUUUCAUUCACUGACAAAACCUGUCAAUCGACCGUCUUCCUGAUGCAUGCAGGGACCCUUCAGCGGGACACGGCCCAAAACGUGUGGCUGGUGCCGCACACAGCAACAAACAGGGCGCCACUGCAGCAGAACAAGCAGCAGGUGCUGCUGGAGCUCAUCGGUGCAUCUUCCACCAGCGAACGCUCCGGGUUGGACCUCGUGGCUGUCCUGGACAUCAGCUACAGCAUGACGGGUGAGAACAGGCUCGGCAGGAUGAAGACCGCCAUGCAGUUCGUCAUCAAGAAGCUCAGCCCCAACGACCGUCUCUCCAUCGUCACAUUCUCCGACGACGCUGAGAGGCGGUGCCAUCUUCGUUCCAUGACCCAGGCUUCGAAGGCACACCUGGAGGAUCUCGUCGACGGCCUGGGAGUCAUCAACAUGACCAACAUGAAAGCCGGCCUCGAGACUGGCCACAAAAUCCUCGACGACCGCCGUAUCGCCCGCGGCCGCGCUGCCAGCAUCUUUAUAUUGUCCGAUGGGGACCAGAACAAAGGCGAUGCUACGACUGUUGAUGUCAGCGAUGUGGCGGUCUACACGUUUGGUUUUGGUGCAGACUCCAACCACAAGGUGCUGGGGGAGAUCGCAAUGAAGAGCAAAGGAGGAACGUUCAACUUUGUAGAGGACGGGGAGAGUAUGAGCGAGCCGUUCUCCCAGAUCCUGGGUGGCCUUCUCAGCAUUGUCGUCCAGGACCUGAAGCUCACCGUGUCCCCAAACCCAGGCGACUCCACGAUAGAGAAGGUGAACGCCGGUCUCUACCUGCAAACCAAGGACACCAACACCGGCUCGGUAACCGUCAGCUUUGGCGAUCUCUUUGCUGCAGAACUACGCAACAUUAUGAUCGAUGUCCUCCUCCCUACCGUCCACAGGAGUAAGAACGUGACUGUCAUCAUCGCCAGUUGCACAUAUAGUAUCAACGGAAAACCCUUCGUCUCCCAUGAAUUUAGGGUCACUAUACGCCGCACCGGAUCAGCUGACCCUUCGUCUCCAAUUUCGGAGGCCGUGCUCACCGAGCAAGUCCGUCAAAUCUACAUAGAGGACUUACGGCAGGCGAUUACACUGGCAGACAGUGUGGGCCUCCAAGGAGCCAAUAACAAGCUGGUGGAAGCCAGGAACAACCUUCAACUUGAGCGGUCCAACUCCAUGAUUGACAUCCUCAGGGCCCAGCUGGAUAAGCUCAUCGAGUUGAUCAGCUCGGGAAUGGGGUUGAGGGCUCUCCGCGCAUGCCUGCUGUCGAUGAUGAUGUUGCAUGGCCGCCAGCGCGUCACGGAGACAGGCCCCGUCAUGGGCCAUAAGCUCUACGUGACGCAGUUCACGGACAUGUCCCGGAAGCAGGCCGGAGAUCAUGAGAAGGACCCCGCCAAGGUGCCGCCGCCAGCCUCUCAGGACGUCGACCAGGCGAAGAUAGUAAGAGAUCAGCAGGGCAUCAAGAGGCCGCCAGCCGUGGUGGAGGCGACCACCUGCAGCUGGAGGACCUGGUGGAGGGAUCGGAAAUCACAUCACGAGAGCUCUAGGUGGGCGAUGGCUAUCCUUUGCACGGUCCUCGCCAUCGCCAUGAUCGUGAUCGGCGUCACGCUGCUCGCCGUGUACCUCCUCAACAUGCCCAAGAUGCCGUACCUGGUGGUCUCCGACGCGCAGCUGGGGGCACUACGGUACGCCCAGCAGGACGGCACCAUCCAGUACCUUCAGCUGCCUAUCACCAUCCUGGCCGAGAACAACAACUCCAAGGCGGAUGCCACUUUCUCCCGUGUCGACCUCGCACUGCAAUUCCACGGAGUCGACGUGGCUCUCCUGCGGACGCCAGCGCCGUUCGUCGUGGCGGCGGAGAGCUCCCUCCCACUGCAGUACAACGUGGUGUCGACGGGACGGAGACUGGACCCAGCUGGGAUGCGGUCCAUGGACCAGUCGCUCAACGCCGGCAUGGUGCCGUUCGACCUGCGGGGCAAGGCACGCACGCGCUGGAAAGUGGGCAUCUUCCUCAAGGCUCACUUUUGGACGCGCAUCUCGUGCCGUCUACACUUCUUCCCCAGCAACAGCACCGUCAUGCCCACCGAUCUUCGCAGAUGCCGCUCUAGGUAA